Molecule: ribosomal RNA, 460 nt
Filed under: uncultured bacterium
Lineage: Bacteria
Description: partial 16S ribosomal RNA
Rfam family: Bacterial small subunit ribosomal RNA
Source: RNAcentral
CCUACGGGAGGCUGCAGUGAGGAAUAUUGGUCAAUGGACGAGAGUCUGAACCAGCCAAGUAGCGUGAAGGAUGACUGCCCUAUGGGUUGUAAACUUCUUUUAUAUGGGAAUAAAACGUUCCACGUGUGGGAUUUUGUAUGUACCAUAUGAAUAAGGAUCGGCUAACUCCGUGCCAGCAGCCGCGGUAAUACGGAGGAUCCGAGCGUUAUCCGGAUUUAUUGGGUUUAAAGGGAGCGUAGGUGGAUUGUUAAGUCAGUUGUGAAAGUUUGCGGCUCAACCGUAAAAUUGCAGUUGAAACUGGCAGUCUUGAGUACAGUAGAGGUGGGCGGAAGUCGUGGUGUAGCGGUGAAAUGCUUAGAUAUCACGAAGAACUCCGAUUGCGAAGGCAGUUCACUGGACUGCAACUGACACUGAGGCUCGAAAGUGUGGGUAUCAAACAGGAUUAGAUACCCGGGUAGUC